This is an RNA transcript of Ipomoea nil (Japanese morning glory), 2350 nucleotides long. It is a transcript of the gene named pentatricopeptide repeat-containing protein At2g34400-like, with no coding region annotated. The record is from RefSeq and is a predicted model, not a curated record. The transcript is spliced from 5 exons. NCBI's taxonomy places the organism in Eukaryota, Viridiplantae, Streptophyta, Magnoliopsida, Solanales, Convolvulaceae.
UAAAAAAUAAAAUAAAAUAAGGGUAUAAAAAAAAAACUCUGUAAAUAAAUAGGAAAGAUGAUUUGUUAAGGCGGGACCGAGAAAUGCUCCUCAGCAGAAAGUGUUCUCAGUUCCAAGCUUCCCGCUUUCUUACCUUUGAAACCUCCCAUAACCCACACCAUCAGCUUCUGCAUAUAACUCAGAAGCUCUUACUCUACUUGCAACAAUGCGUUUCCGCCAAACAAAUCCAACAAAUCCAUACCCAAUUCCUCAUUCGUUCCAUUUACAAACCCAACUUUCUUCUCCGCAAAAUCAUUCACCUCCAAGACUUCAACUAUGCCACUCUUUACUUCUCCCACAUCCCGUCCCCCAACGAGUAUGGGUUCAACAUUAUGAUCAGAGGGCUCGCUACUACGUGGCAAAGGUUCGAUUUCGCCUUAGAAUCUUAUUGCAAGAUGAAGUCUUUAGGCCUAAAACCUGAUAACUUUACUUACCCGUUUGUGUUCAUAUCUUGCGGGAGCCUUCCGGCUGCUCAACUUGGCAAGUCAACUCACUGUGAGGUGGUGAAAACUGGGUUGUGCCUGGAUUUUCACGUUAGGCAUUCGUUGAUCACGAUGUACUCAAGGUUCGGUAAGUUGGGAUGCGCGCGGAAGGUAUUUGAUGAAAUGGCUGAGAGAGAUUUGGUGUCAUGGAAUUCGAUGAUCUCAGGGUAUUCUCAGAUGGGUUAUGCUAGGGAGGCGGUGGAAUUGUUUGGGGAGAUGAGGAAUCAGGGGGUUGAACCCAAUGAGAUGACACUUGUGAGUGUUCUUGGAGCUUGUGGGGGCUUGGGGGACUUGAAUUUGGGGAGGUGUGUCGAGAGCUAUGUUCUAGAGAAAAAUUUUGAACUAAAUUCCUUCAUAGGCUCUGCUUUGAUUAAUAUGUAUGGGAAAUGUGGUGAUUUGGCUUCAGCCAAGAGGAUCUUUGAUGGCCUGAGGAAGAAAGAUGUGAUCAUAUGGAAUGCAAUGAUUUCAGGAUUUGCACAAAAUGGAUUUUCUGAUGAAACAAUUUCAUUAUUCAACACCAUGAAGGAAGCAGGAGUUAAUCCUAAUAAAAUCACAUUGGUUGUAGUGCUCUCUGCAUGCGCCUCUAUUGGAGCCCUAGAUAUUGGGAAAUGGAUUGAUGAAUAUGCAUCAACAAGAGGUUUGAAGCAUGACAUCUAUGUUGGUACAGCAUUAAUUGACAUGUAUGCAAAAUGUGGAAGCCUGGAUUCUGCAUACCAAAUUUUUGAAAACAUGUCCAUGAAGAAUAGAGUCUCAUGGAAUGCAAUGAUCUCAGCUCUUGCUUUUCAUGGGAGAGCCUUUGAGGCUCUGUCUCUAUUUGACCACAUGUCAGCUGAGGGUGAUGUUAACCUCCCAGAUGAUAUCACAUUUGUUGGAGUACUUUCUGCAUGUGUGCAUGCAGGAUUGGUUGAUGAAGGUUACCGAAUCUUUAGUUUGAUGAAAUCUCAUGGACUAGUUCCAAAAAUUGAGCAUUAUUCUUGCAUGGUUGAUCUUUUGUCUCGUGCUGGGUGUGUAGAGGAAGCAUGGGACUUAAUUGAGAAGAUGCCUGAGAAACCUGAUGAGGUUUUAUUAGGUGCAGUGCUGGGUGCCUGCCGCAAGGUAAAAAAUGUUGAAAUUGCUGAACGUGUCAUGGAGCUUAUUCUACAGAUGGAACCAUCAAAUUCUGGUAAUUAUAUAAUUUCUUCAAAGAUAUAUGCACAUGCGAAGAGAUGGGAUGAAUCAGCAAAGAUGCUCAGAUUGAUGAAAGAGAAAGGGGUGACUAAAACACCUGGUUGUAGCUGGAUUGAGAUGGAUUCUCAAGUUUUUGAGUUUCAUGCUGGUGAUUCAGUAAAUCAAAACACAACAGAAAUUUAUGAAGUUCUUCAGUUGCUAUAUGAGGAGUUAAAGAUAGAAGCUGACUCAUUAACUGCUGAUUUUGCAUAGAAAGGUUUUGCCAAAUGGAUACAGGUGGCAUACUGUAUUAUGAAUUCAAGGAGUGAUAAUUGAAUAUUUUUGAGUGUAUAUUGGGUGGCUGGAGUGCUGGACUCCUAUAUCUGAUUUGAGGUGAGGUGGAUCCGUAGAAUCACUCUUGCAGAUGUGCUGAGGAAAGGAAGGUCACACCGUCAAAGUGCACAAGAGUUUCAUGCUUUGUGAUAUAUGGACAAUCCAGUUACUGGUUAACUUCAUGUAAACAAGAUCCAUAUCACAAAAUGGUGUGUCCUUUAUGCCUAUGCCCUUCUGUGAUGCAGUCAUACUAUUUUUAUUGUUUGAUCAGUUGAUCCAACUUAAUUCGUGGAGAGGUUUGCCAUCUCAAAAGGUGGACAUAGUGAUGAAGAUAUGAAAAGGAAGCUUGG